Long non-coding RNA from Felis catus (domestic cat), 3645 nucleotides. RefSeq lists it as uncharacterized. The transcript has 2 exons. NCBI's taxonomy places the organism in Eukaryota, Metazoa, Chordata, Mammalia, Carnivora, Felidae. The record is from RefSeq and is a predicted model, not a curated record.
CAGCGGGGCUCCAUGUCUGUGCGGGUGUUGAGCCAGGUGUGGCUGGUGGGGCCUUGCCAACACCACUGGAAUGUGACCUCACACUUCUGACUGUUGACCUCUCCCCACAGGAAAUGACAACUAGUAGGGCCAGGCUCUGACAGGUCUGGCCAAGUCUAGCCCAUGGUAGAAACACCUGAAAAGCCUCCCUUGGUGGGCUUACCUUACUCUGUAUUCCCAUUUUUCUUUCUCUCAAAUGCACACAGAAAUUGCCAUCCUGGACAAACCCUAAAUGAAGUGGACGUGGAGGCUGAGAUGCAGAAAAAACUGCUAUGGCUGGGAAGGAGAAAGUGCUAUCCUACAGCCCACCCCUCCUGGGAAGUGUCAUCCCCUUUGCUGCUCUAACUUCAGUCCAUGUGCUUCCCCUCUGCUUGUCCUGCCAAAUGGCAGCAAUGAAGCAGGAGGGACUUGGGUCUAAGCAGUCAGAUUAGUAGAAUGGGGAAGAGGAUGCACUCUGGAGCCAGACUGCAUGGAUUCAGAUCACAGCUCUGUCAUCUGUUAUUUGCAUGAUCUAAAUUAUUGACCCUCCUUUAGCUUCAGUCUCCUCCUUUGUUAAGGGAUUACAGUGGGCCUAUACCCAUUAAGUUCAUGUGUGGAUUAAAUGAAUUAAUUUAUGUAAGCACUUAGAUCAGUGCCCUGCACAUACUGUAGAGAGGCAUAAAGUCACAUUGUUGCUUGUCACUAUUCCUUAGUAAUGUUUUGGUUCUGCCACAGUCUAUUUAGCCAUUUCUAAAUUGAUGGCCAUAUAGAUUGCUUUGAUUUUCCACUCUUGCAAAUAAGGCUUCCACGUGUAUUUUUAUAUAUGCUUCCUUUUACACAUGAAGAAUAGUUUCUCAAAGAUAGAGAAGAUGUAAAAUUGCUGCAUUUAUAAUUUUAAAGGCUUUAUUAGAAAAUUAUGAGUCUGCUUUCUCUUUCUUCUACCUGUUGGUUUUAGUUAUUCCCUUGGGCAGCCUAAGCCAUAUUAGCAGCUCCGAAGUAAUAGAUCCUACUGGUUAAGACUGAUAACUUCAGGUUCAGAUGAAUUUUGAGGGUAAGGGGGUCAUGUUUUGAGGAAGCUUACUAAGCAUUUAUAUACAGUAAUUUAUUUAAUUACUAUGAGGUAGUAAUGACUGCAUGACUAUCCCCACUUUACUCAUUAGGAAAUGGGAGGCAAAAAGAAGCAAUAUAAUUACUCAGGGUCACACAACCGUAAGUGGUGGAUCCUUUGUACAGGUGUGAACAUUGAAUCAGUACAUGUAAAAUUUCUUAGUAUUCUGCUCAACAUACAGAAAACAUGCAAUCGAUGUUAGCGUUAUUCUAGGAUUAAUUGGUGAUAAUUAGGGCUGUAGAAUUAUUACCAUCACUACUUUACUACUCUCAGAAUGUGAUAAAGCUUAUCUCUGGGGAGUUCACUUCAUUUGUCUUAACAAAAUGAUAUGGAAUUGUGGUUUCAAGCCUUGGUUGGCCAAUCUAGUUUAUUCUGUUCCAUAGCCACAAACUACAUGCUUAAACUUUGAGAAAGUUGCCAUAAUUAGCACCCUGGUGUUUACCCACAGAUAAGAUACAUACACAUAUAGUUAAAUAUAAAGUGUGGAUGCACAUAAAUUCUCAUUUGUGAUGGGGCAGAAGCCAGUGGGUGGGGAGCAGAGUUGCACUGGAUGCCCACGAGAGAGUAAUGGAGGCCUAUACUUGGCCCUUGAGGAGGACAGGUCAGCUGGCUUGGGAUGCUGGAACACUGGAAGCAGACUAUGAAAUCAAUUCCCUCCUGGAGGGAAUGGCAUAUAUUAAUGCACUAAACACUACUAUGGGGUAGAAGAUGUGGUUACUAAGAUGAAGAAAACACAGCCCUUGACCUCCAGAGGACAGAAUUGUUGAUGCAUGUUUGCACCACGGGUGACACACAGGAACAUACUCUAGAGGUGCAUACAAAGUGUGGUGGGGUCUAGAAUCUUCCAGAAUAUGUCAUAGGAACAGAAGUGUGGGCAGGAAUUUGAGGCAGAGGGAGAGGCAUGUGAGAAGACAUGGGUGUAACACAGCAGGGUGUGUGCAGGGCACUGCAGGGCCAGGAAGGAUGACUGUGUGGUGUGGUGCACGUGAGGAGGGAGAGGUGAGGCAUCAUGAAGGAGGCUGAAAGCCAUGUCAAGGAGUUUUGACUUUUAUCUUAAAGGAUAUGGGCAGCCACCAAACGUUUUUUGUCUUUUUUUUUUGUUUGGUUUUUGUUUUUAGAAAGAAAAAGCUUGAUUAAAUCUUAAUUGCACAAGGUGUUUCUUAAAAUACUGGCAUCCUGAGGAAAAGCUGGGCUGCCUUGAGGUGGGAGCAGACUUGUGGGAGAGAGAGCACAACAGGAAUGGGGUCCAGGAAGGGGCUGGCAGCAGCCUGGGAAAAUGUUAGAAGGUGGAUCUUGUAACCAUGACCAAGUUUGACUGACUACAUUGGCUGGUCUGAUAGUCUCACAUGGAACAAACAAAUAAAUCAGAGAAUACCUUUACCCUGAUCAGUAGUUACAGAAUUGUUUCAUUUAAUCAUUAAAAUAACUUGUGAUUUUGGCAUCAUUGUUACUCCCACCCUGCAGCUGAGUAAAUGAAGGCUCACAGAAGUCAAGAAAGUGGCUUCAGAACCCAUAGUGUGUGAGUGCUAGUAUUCAUUUGGCACAAUUCAGCACUCCUUUGCUGCCAGGAGUGUCCCCAAAGGCCAGGGAAGUGACUACAGAGUUUAUUAUGCUGAGUUCCUGAAUGGGGCAUCACUCUGUGUGGCUGCAGAAAGCUUCAGUACCCAGAGUUGAUGCCUUCUGUGGUAAAGUGGCCCUGCAGGGCCCCAUGUGGUAUGUGAGGUGAUGGCCAGAUAUCCCUCUGAGGAGGAGGUGUGUGAGGGACCUGAAGAGCUAAAUGUUCUCCUGACAGUUCCCUCUUCCCAAGGUAGAGGCAGCAGGUGAGACCUCCAAGGGCUGGCAAGGACAAGUGGCCUGUGACUCUCAUCACAAGGGAAUGAUUGGACCAGCACAAAUCCAUCAUCACUUCUGGAAAAACUGCUCCCAGGACAUGACUGACUGGCAACAGAGCUUAGCAGGGCACCUUGGCCCCCCAGGUGCUCCCUUUCUUCUGCAAUGUUUCAGUGACAAGAAAAAGGGAUUUCUUAAGUGCUCAGCUGUAAGAAUGAGUGGGUUGAUGGUGCUAUGGUGCAACCCUACCCCACCCUGAUGCCUCCUGCUGCAUCAGGACCCUGGGUCUUGGCAUUUCUGUAGGCAGCCACACCUCUGAGUUAAGGAAAGUAGGAUGCCUUUCACACUUUCUUUGGUUCUUCAGACACAGGCACACCUCGUUUUAUUGCACUUUGCUUUACUAUGCUUUGCAGAUAUUGUAUUUUUUAUAAAUUGAAAGUUUUUGGAAAGCCUGCAAAAAAACAAAACAAAACAAAACAAAAAACCUAUUGGUACCACUGUUUCCCAAUAGCAUUUGUUCAAUUCAUGUCUCUGUGUCACAUUUUGGUUAAUUCUCACAAUAGUUUAAACUUUUUCAUUAUUAUUAUAUUUGUUAUGGUGAUCUGUGAUCAGUGAUUUUAAUGUUACUAUUAUAAUUGUUUUGGGGAACCACAAACCACGUCCAUAUAAAAAUUGCAAACAAUCAUAAA